AGCGAAAUGCGAUAAGUAGUGUGAAUUGCAGAAUCCCGUGAACCAUCGAGUUUUUGAACGCAAGUUGCGCCCGAGGCCAUCAGGCUAAGGGCACGCCUGCCUGGGCGUCGUGUGCUACAUCUCUCCUCUGCCAAUGCUUGAUCGGCAUACAGCUAGGUUAUCAUUGUGC
RNAcentral lists this ribosomal RNA (169 nucleotides) under Cypripedium palangshanense. Its description in RNAcentral is "5.8S ribosomal RNA". The stretch from base 1 to 110 matches the Rfam family "5.8S ribosomal RNA", at positions 47 to 154 of the family's 154-position model. From Rfam's summary of the family: 5.8S ribosomal RNA (5.8S rRNA) is a component of the large subunit of the eukaryotic ribosome. It is transcribed by RNA polymerase I as part of the 45S precursor that also contains 18S and 28S rRNA. Functionally, it is thought that 5.8S rRNA may be involved in ribosome translocation. Lineage: Eukaryota; Viridiplantae; Streptophyta; Magnoliopsida; Asparagales; Orchidaceae. The record is from RNAcentral.